RNAcentral lists this ribosomal RNA (484 nucleotides) under Octopus taganga. Its description in RNAcentral is "partial 16S ribosomal RNA". It matches the Rfam family "Bacterial large subunit ribosomal RNA", at positions 1803 to 2561 of the family's 2925-position model. Lineage: Eukaryota; Metazoa; Mollusca; Cephalopoda; Octopoda; Octopodidae. The record is from RNAcentral.
UUUAUCAAAAACAUGUCUCUUUGAGAUCUUUUAAUAAAGAGUUGGGCCUGCUCGGUGAUUAAUAUUUAACAGCUGCGGUAUUAUAACUGUACUAAGGUAGCAUAAUAAUUUGCUCUAUAAAUUGGGGCUAGAAUGAAUGGUUUGACGAAAAUUUGACUGUCUCUAUCUUAUUUAUUAGAAAUUAAUUUUUAUGGUGAGAAAGCUUAAAUUAUUUAAAGGGACGAAAAGACCCUAUUGAGCUUAUAUUAUUUAAUAAGUUAUAUAAUUGUUGUUUAUUUGAAUUAAUUUUGAUUGGGGUGAUCAAGGAAUAAAUUGUUUAGAUUAACUUCCUUAAUUAAUUUGUUUUAUGUAAAAAUAAACCAAAUUUUUUGCUUAGAAGAUAAGUUACCAUAGGGAUAACAGCGUAAUUUUUUUUGAGAGUUCAUAUUGAAAAAAGAGAUUGCGACCUCGAUGUUGGAUUAAAAUUAACCUUAAGGUGGAGAGG